CGGAGGGUGCGAGCGUUGUUCGGAAUCACUGGGCGUAAAGGGCGUGUAGGCGGUCCGCUAAGUCUGAUGUGAAAGCCCGGGGCUCACCCCCGGAAGGGCAUUGGAAACUGGCGGACUCGAGUCCCGGAGAGGAAGGUGGAAUUCCUGGUGUAGCGGUGAAAUGCGUAGAUAUCAGGAGGAAUACCGGUGGCGAAGGCGGCCUUCUGGACGGUGACUGACGCUGAGACGCGAAAGCGUGGGGAGCAAACAGGAUUAGAUACCCUGGUAGUCCACGCUGUAAACGAUGAGCACUAGGUGUCGUGGGUAUUGACCCCCGCGGUGCCGACGCUAACGCAUUAAGUGCUCCGCCUGGGGACUACGGCCGCAAGGUUA
RNAcentral lists this ribosomal RNA (372 nucleotides) under uncultured organism. RNAcentral's name for it is "bacterial SSU rRNA". It matches the Rfam family "Bacterial small subunit ribosomal RNA", at positions 526 to 896 of the family's 1533-position model. The record is from RNAcentral.